Molecule: long non-coding RNA, 280 nt
Filed under: Vigna radiata
Lineage: Eukaryota; Viridiplantae; Streptophyta; Magnoliopsida; Fabales; Fabaceae
Description: long non-coding RNA (VRAD_LNC010970)
Source: RNAcentral
UGGAGAAAUGGGAGAUGUUUAGAAGGGUUUAGAGGAGAAUGGGAUAACUGUAUGGACAAGUCAUUCCUCAUAUAAUCCUCAAAGGAAAUGUGAUAUGAGAAUGUCAGGGUGAACACGAGAUACACAAAGGGUGCCCCAGCUUGAUGUUAUGGAAAAUGAGCUGGGGUUUGGAUCUAUGAAAGUUAGGGUGAGAAAAUUUCAAAUGAGAUUUGCAAAGUUGCCCCCAGUCUUGAGGUUAUGGAUUGAUGAAAAACUUGUGUGAGACUCACAAAGCUGCCCC